RNAcentral lists this ribosomal RNA (493 nucleotides) under uncultured bacterium. RNAcentral's name for it is "partial 16S ribosomal RNA". It matches the Rfam family "Bacterial small subunit ribosomal RNA", at positions 27 to 507 of the family's 1533-position model. The record is from RNAcentral.
GAGUGAACGCUGGCGGUAGGCCUAACACAUGCAAGUCGACCGGCAGCACAGUAAGAGCUUGCUCUUACGGGUGGCGAGUGGCGGACGGGUGAGGAAUACAUCGGAAUCUACUUUUUCGUGGGGGAUAACGUAGGGAAACUUACGCUAAUACCGCAUACGACCUACGGGUGAAAGCAGGGGAUCUUCGGACCUUGCGCGAUUGAAUGAGCCGAUGUCGGAUUAGCUAGUUGGCGGGGUAAAGGCCCACCAAGGCGACGAUCCGUAGCUGGUCUGAGAGGAUGAUCAGCCACACUGGAACUGAGACACGGUCCAGACUCCUACGGGAGGCAGCAGUGGGGAAUAUUGGACAAUGGGCGCAAGCCUGAUCCAGCCAUACCGCGUGGGUGAAGAAGGCCUUCGGGCUGUAAAGCCCUUUUGUUGGGAAAGAAAAGCAGCAGGUUAAUACCCCGCUGUUCUGACGGUACCCAAAGAAUAAGCACCGGCUAACUUCGUG